UGGGGAAUAUUGGACAAUGGGCGAAAGCCUGAUCCAGCCAUGCCGCGUGGGUGAAGAAGGUCUUCGGAUUGUAAAGCACUUUAAGUUGGGAGGAAGGGCAUUAACCUAAUACGUUAGUGUUUUGACGUUACCGACAGAAUAAGCACCGGCUAACUCUGUGCCAGCAGCCGCGGUAAUACAGAGGGUGCAAGCGUUAAUCGGACUUACUGGGCGUAAAGCGCGCGUAGGUGGUUUGUUAAGUUGGAUGUGAAAUCGCCGGGCUCAACCUGGGAACUGCAGUCAAAACUGACUGACUAGAGUAUUGUAGAGGGUGGUGGAAUUUCCUGUGUAGCGGUGAAAUGCGUAGAUAUAGGAAGGAACACCAGUGGAGAAGGCGACCACCUGGACUAAUACUGACACUGAGGUGCGAAAGCGUGGGGAGCAAACA
This 427-nucleotide ribosomal RNA is filed under the name uncultured bacterium. RNAcentral describes it as "partial 16S ribosomal RNA". It matches the Rfam family "Bacterial small subunit ribosomal RNA", at positions 355 to 774 of the family's 1533-position model. The record is from RNAcentral.